This 512-nucleotide ribosomal RNA is filed under the name uncultured bacterium. Its description in RNAcentral is "partial 16S ribosomal RNA". It matches the Rfam family "Bacterial small subunit ribosomal RNA", at positions 28 to 523 of the family's 1533-position model. The record is from RNAcentral.
GACGAACGCUGGCGGCGUGCCUAAUACAUGCAAGUCGAGCGGACAGAAGGGAGCUUGCUCCCGGAAGUCAGCGGCGGACGGGUGAGUAACACGUGGGAAACCUGCCCUGCAGAUUGGGAUAACUCCGGGAAACCGGGGCUAAUACCGAAUAACAUUGGAAACCUCAUGGCUUCCUUUUAAAGGGCGGCUUCGGCUGUCACUGCAGGAUGGGCGCGCGGCGCAUUGGCUGGUUGGUGGGGUAACGGCUCACCAAGGCGACGAUGCGUAGCCGACCUGAGAGGGUGAUCGGCCACACUGGGACUGAGACACGGCCCAGACUCCUACGGGAGGCAGCAGUAGGGAAUCUUCCGCAAUGGACGAAAGUCUGACGGAGCAACGCCGCGUGAGUGAAGAAGGUUUUCGGAUCGUAAAACUCUGUUGUCAGGGAAGAACAAGUACGGUAGUAACUGCCCGUACCUUGACGGUACCUGGCCAGAAAGCCACGGCUAACUACGUGCCAGCCGCCGCAGUAA